AAGCAGUUCGAGCUAAGCUUUCAUGAGAUGCAAAUUAAAAGAACUUUAAGUGUCUAGCAGUUAUGGAUGCUUUGCUAAGUUAAAUUAUGUUUACAUCAGGAAAUCACCAAACUAUGGAACUGUUGAUAUCUUAGCUUAUCAUGAAAGGAAGAAUGAGUCUUUCGAAAAACUACAAGACAGCAACUAAUUUGAAUUACGAAAGA
Molecule: unclassified non-coding RNA, 203 nt
Filed under: Hevea brasiliensis (rubber tree)
Lineage: Eukaryota; Viridiplantae; Streptophyta; Magnoliopsida; Malpighiales; Euphorbiaceae
Source: RNAcentral